RNA transcript from Populus trichocarpa (black cottonwood), 1563 nucleotides. It is a transcript of the gene named ubiquinone biosynthesis O-methyltransferase, mitochondrial, with no coding region annotated. NCBI's taxonomy places the organism in Eukaryota, Viridiplantae, Streptophyta, Magnoliopsida, Malpighiales, Salicaceae. The record is from RefSeq and is a predicted model, not a curated record. The transcript is spliced from 10 exons.
CUGACAUGUCGUUUUCCUCUUCUUCCCCAACAAACAAAACAGUAACACACCUUCCCCUACUGAAGUCGUUCUUCAAUCAUAAAACACCAUGGCUUUGAAGCUGCUGAGCAAACUCCGAAAUCAGAAUCUUCAAAUCACUCGAAACCGAAACCACCACCGGCUCGUCGAUGCCGCCAGAUUCUUCUCUGAACAGCCAGUUUCGAAUCUUUCGACACCAGAUGAUAGCAAAUUUAUUAUUAAGAACAAACAACAAACCACCACAUCAUCUUUGAAACAGCACGAGCUUGCUAAAUUCGCAGCCAUUUCUGAUACCUGGUGGGAUUCAGAAGGUCCAUUUAAACCAUUGCAUAACAUGAACCCUACAAGACUCGCUUUCAUUCGCUCCACGCUUUGUAGACAUUUCAGUAAGGAUCCGAACUGCGCUAGGCCUUUUGAAGGACUUAAAAUUGUUGAUGUUGGUUGUGGUGGUGGAAUUCUUUCGGAGCCUUUAGCUAGGAUGGGAGCAACCGUAACAGGAGUUGAUGCGGUGGAGAAAAAUAUCAAUGUUGCACGCCUUCACGCUGAUUUGGAUCCAGAGACUUCAACCAUUGAAUACUGUUGCACAACAGCUGAAAAGCUAGUCGAGGAGCAGAGGAAGUUUGAUGCUGUGAUUGCACUGGAGGUAAUUGAGCACGUGGCAGCUCCUGCUGAAUUCUGCAAGUCGCUGGCAGCACUGGCUUAUCCUGGUGGAGCCACUGUAAUAUCAACAAUUAAUCGUUCUAUGAGAGCGUAUGCGACUGCCAUUGUUGCAGCAGAGUACCUUCUCAAUUGGCUUCCUAAAGGCACGCAUCAGUGGUCAAGCUUUCUUACUCCUGAAGAACUGGUGCUUAUCCUACAGCGUGCUUCUAUCAAUGUUAAAGAAAUGGCUGGAUUCGUUUACAGCCCCUUGACUGGGCGAUGGUCUCUAUCUGAUGAUAUUUCUGUGAACUUCAUAGCCUAUGGUACCAAAGAUGGUCAAUGAUGAGAAUUGCGUACAAAGACAGGCAUGCUGAUUAAAAGUUUUGCUCUUAGCCUCAAACAAUUUGUAUUUUGGAGCUACCCUUCAGUUCACCGUAUGUUUCUAAUUCCUCAAAUUCAUUGGCACGCCUGAACUCAAGGAUUGGGCUGAAAUAAGGCAAUGGCGGGGCUUGAGCGAUGCAUGCUUGUGCCUCAGGUCAAUUAUGCCAUCGUGUACAUGCAUGGCUUGCCACUGGUUUGACCCAUGGAAUAUAAGCAUGCCACCAAGGUUCUGUCUCAAUUGGAAGUGGCUGGAAACCACUUCCUCUCCGCAGCCUAUAAUGUGCAAGGUGACUGAGACAGGCACCGGAAUUCCCCAUCCCUUCGGGUGCAAAUUCUUUGGUUUUAUAGAAAGAUGGUUCGGAAUCAACAUCAAACAUUAGGUUUCUUUGAUAUAAUAAAGAACAGUAAAAUUUUUUGGUGCAUGUUGCCCACCCUGCCUUUUUCAUCGAAAAUUAUGUAACAGCUUGCAAAGAUGGAUAACUUUCAAACUACAAGUGGUUCCUGCAUUAAAGCCAGUCAUGUCAA